This 21-nucleotide microRNA is filed under the name Patiria miniata (bat star). RNAcentral's name for it is "Pmi-Mir-10-P1_3p* (star (passenger))". Lineage: Eukaryota; Metazoa; Echinodermata; Asteroidea; Valvatida; Asterinidae. The record is from RNAcentral.
AAGUUCGAAUCUCACGGUACC